GAAACGCGAAUCAAGCAGACGUGGAAACGUCGUGAGACUUGGAGCUGGCCUUGGUAACAAGGCCAUGCG
This 69-nucleotide non-coding RNA is filed under the name unclassified sequences. RNAcentral describes it as "Transposase-2 RNA". It matches the Rfam family "Transposase-2 RNA". The record is from Rfam by way of RNAcentral.